GCUGGGCAUGGUGACGCAUGCCUGUGAUCCCAGCUACUGGGAGGCUGAGGUGAGAGGAUCCCUUGAGCCCAGGAGAUCAAGGCUGCAGUGAGCAGUGUUCAAGCCACUACACUCCAGCCUGAGGGACAAAGUGAUACCCUGUCUCAA
RNAcentral lists this small RNA (147 nucleotides) under Callithrix jacchus (white-tufted-ear marmoset). RNAcentral's name for it is "Metazoan signal recognition particle RNA (ENSCJAG00000080711.1)". The record is from Rfam by way of RNAcentral. Lineage: Eukaryota; Metazoa; Chordata; Mammalia; Primates; Cebidae.